This 421-nucleotide ribosomal RNA is filed under the name uncultured bacterium. RNAcentral describes it as "partial 16S ribosomal RNA". It matches the Rfam family "Bacterial small subunit ribosomal RNA", at positions 359 to 773 of the family's 1533-position model. The record is from RNAcentral.
AGUUACGGACAAUGGGGGCAACCCUGAUCCAGCCAUCAUGCGUGUGCGAGGAAGGCCUUCGGGUUGUAAAGCACUCUUGGCUGGGACGAAAAGGAUCUGGCUACUACCUGGAGCUGCUGACGGUACCUGCAGAAGAAGCAGCGGCUAACUACGUGCCAGCAGCCGCGGUAAUACGUAGGGUGCAAGCGUUAAUCGGAAUUACUGGGCGUAAAGCGAGCGCAGGCGGUUCGGCAAGAAGGAUGUGAAAUCCCAGGGCUUAACCUUGGAACUGCAUUCUUAACUGCCGGGCUAGAGUAUGUCAGAGGGGGGUAGAAUUCCGCGUGUAGCAGUGAAAUGCGUAGAGAUGCGGAGGAAUACCGAUGGCGAAGGCAGCCCCCUGGGAUAAUACUGACGCUCAUGCACGAAAGCGUGGGGAGCAAAC